GGGAAGGACAAACCUCAAGUUUGAUGAAACUUUGGUAAUCAGUACAAUUUUCUCUUCAAGGACUUUGUAAACAGCAUUCAUCCUUCAAAAAAUUCUUUCUCUUUGUGAUUUAUUUUAUAAACCUAAAGGAAAAAGAGAAAGUCAGCAGUUCCAGCAUUUGCUAUAGUGGUGUCCUAAUGGUUUCUAGCUUUGGACCACUGACAUUUACCAAGACAAAUCACUGUGAGAUAGGAUCCUGCAGAGGCAGCUCUGGGCCCGGCCUCCCUGGGCAGGACUUCUCGGUGCUCUUAGAAUUCUGAAUUGGCCCCAGCAGCACCCUUUAGGACAACAAAGGAUGCUAAGACGGUCUGUUCUGACAUCUGCACUGUGGCAGAGUUCGGUUACAGGGUGUUAUUUACAGCUGCCAAAUGCUAGAAGCUCCCACGCCUCCGACAGCCCCAAUUUGGAAAGUGGAGGCCUUGAUUUACCAGUGAAUUUGGGUGAAUUCAGUCCUUAUCUCCCAAGUGUCAGUUCUCACCAAGUCUUAUUUUUCCCAAGCCACUUCUGAAAACUGCUGUUGGUCUGGAUAUUUCAGUCCACAUUGCUGCAGAAGCUCCUGUUAGAAAAGUGUAAUUAAUAGGAAACUUUGACAUCCAGCUGAGAAAAUUAGUUU
This 652-nucleotide long non-coding RNA is filed under the name Fukomys damarensis (Damara mole-rat). RNAcentral describes it as "lncRNA (ENSFDAG00000030737.1)". The record is from RNAcentral. Lineage: Eukaryota; Metazoa; Chordata; Mammalia; Rodentia; Bathyergidae.